CCUACGGGAGACAGCAGUGAGGAAUAUUGGUCAAUGGCCGAGAGGCUGAACCAGCCAAGUCGCGUGAGGGAAGAAUGUCCUAUGGAUUGUAAACCUCUUUUGUCAGGGAGCAAAGUCACCCACGUGUGGGUGUUGGAGAGUACCUGAAGAAAAAGCAUCGGCUAACUCCGUGCCAACAGCCGCGGUAAUACGGAGGAUGCGAGCGUUAUCCGGAUUUAUUGGGUUAAAAGGGUGCGUAGGCGGGUUAUCAAGUCAGCGGUAAAAUCGUGGAGCUCAACUCCAUCCAGCCGUUGAAACUGAUGAUCGUGAGUGGGCGAGAAGCAUGCGGAAUGCGUGGUGUAGCGGUGAAAUGCAUAGAUAUCACGAAGAACUCCGAUUGCGAAGGCAGCAUGCCGGCGCCCGACUGACGCUGAAGCACGAAAGCGUGGGUAUCGAACAGGAUUAGAUACCCGUGUAGUC
This 459-nucleotide ribosomal RNA is filed under the name uncultured bacterium. RNAcentral describes it as "partial 16S ribosomal RNA". It matches the Rfam family "Bacterial small subunit ribosomal RNA", at positions 338 to 795 of the family's 1533-position model. The record is from RNAcentral.